Molecule: transfer RNA, 76 nt
Filed under: Gammaproteobacteria bacterium
Lineage: Bacteria; Pseudomonadati; Pseudomonadota; Gammaproteobacteria
Also listed under: 1 other name
Description: tRNA-Lys
Rfam family: tRNA
About the family: Transfer RNA (tRNA) molecules are approximately 80 nucleotides in length.
Source: RNAcentral
GGGCCGUUAGCUCAGUUGGUAGAGCAGUGGACUUUUAAUCCAUUGGUCCUAGGUUCGAGUCCUAGACGGCCCACCA